CCAAGGUCAACAAAUUCCAACUCAAUGUCAACCAAGGUCAACCCAACCAAACCCAACCCAAGGUCAACCAAACCCAAGGCAAGGUCAGCCAAGGUCAACCAAACCCAACUCAACGUCAACCAAGGUCAACCCAAUCCAAGUCAAGGUCAACCAAGGUCAACCCAAUCCAAGUCAAGGUCAACCAAACCCAACCCAAGAUCAACCCAAGUCAAGGUCAACCCAACCCUUGGUCAACCCAACCAAUGGUCAGCAAGGCCAAACCAACCCAACGACCAACGCGAGUCAAGACCGGACAAUCGAUGGUCAACGUCAAGACCAACCCAACGGUCAUCUCAAGACCAACCCAAUGGUCAGCUCAAGAUCAAGACCACCCCAGUGGUCAGCCCAAUUAACCGUUCACGAAAUCAAGACCAACCCAACGGUCAUCUCCAUCCAU
This 436-nucleotide long non-coding RNA is filed under the name Junco hyemalis (dark-eyed junco). RNAcentral describes it as "lncRNA (ENSJHYG00000000545.1)". Lineage: Eukaryota; Metazoa; Chordata; Aves; Passeriformes; Passerellidae. The record is from RNAcentral.